CUGACUCUGAACCAGUUCUGUCUAGUUACUGGAAUGGGAUUAUCUGCUGUGUGUUUGUGUGUGUGUGAGAGAGAGAGAGAGAGAGAGAGAGAGACGGUGUGUGAUUUUGCCGUGCAUGUUUAAGUAUCCAUAUGUGCAUGUGUGAAAAAGUGGGAAAACGAGUUAGAGAGAGCGCGAGUGAAAUAUUUGUGUCUGUGUGUGUGUGUUUUCCCAGCAUCCUUUGUUGUCUGGCCUGACAAAUGUGGCUUAGCCCAGAAUCGCCUGUUUAAUCUUGCCGCCAUUUUGUUGUCUGCUGGUGUCUAUGGUUCUUCUCUAUCUCUCUCAUGGCAGUCAGAGCAGUGGGCUUAACUUUCCAGAACAGUUGCCAUAGCAACACCGACAGAGGUUUAUCAGUGGCUAUGGCGACGGAUGAUGCACUGAGAUGUGACCUGCCAUGGUUUUGGGAUGCGGAGGAAGACGCGUUUGGGAUGAAGCCACACCCUGAUGAUGAAAAUGGCAGAUUGCCGGGCUGCUGUUGCUCUCGGUCAUCGGCAGCGGGCCGAGCCGACGGGCUGCAGGGAUGACUCAGUCCUCUGUGGCUGGACUUUAAUAAAUGUCACAUCACAUCAAGCA
Molecule: long non-coding RNA, 612 nt
Filed under: Betta splendens (Siamese fighting fish)
Lineage: Eukaryota; Metazoa; Chordata; Actinopteri; Anabantiformes; Osphronemidae
Description: lncRNA (ENSBSLG00000019165.1)
Source: RNAcentral